UUCGGGGGAGUAACGGUGGAAUUCACACUGAUUUUUCUCUGUGUUUAGGGAGUUCCAAAGUUACUGAAGGAGUGCUGCUGUGAGUCACCUUCCCGCCAGCCAGGUUUCUAAACUGAGCACCCAUGGCUGGAGGCAGAGUUCCAAGAGAAGCCAGCUCCCCAAAGCUCCCAUCAAGACUCAAAGUGAGAAUAACUCUCCCAGUUUGCCGGGGCUCGGGCAGGCACCGCACAGGGAAACAAGGUCCUAUUCAGCCAGACGCCGCUGGAGUGACUGCUGCGUGGCCAAGGGUAGAUGGGAAACAGCAUACGCUCUUCAUCUGUGAAAACGGGGCAUUUCCUAUGGGAAGUUUAACUGCAAUGAGAAAGAACACAGCUUCUAAAAACUGUGGCACCUGACAUCUCGG
RNAcentral lists this long non-coding RNA (403 nucleotides) under Calidris pugnax (ruff). RNAcentral describes it as "lncRNA (ENSCPUG00000003394.1)". The record is from RNAcentral. Lineage: Eukaryota; Metazoa; Chordata; Aves; Charadriiformes; Scolopacidae.